AUCUAUGAACCACCGCUAGCUGACCACACAAAUCUCAAAAAUCUUCAAACUUCUCUCUUUAUAAUGCAUAAAAUGGCUUUACCCAAUUCUUGAAUAAGUUGGUACUGUCAUAGUUUUAACUGGACAUAAAUCUAUGGGUUUGUAGCGAAAAGAUGAACUACUUCCGACGGGAACCCACUUUUGGCUCGACGGUAUGCAAAUUGUGGCACCACUUCUACUCCAAUAUGUAGGAACAAUACAAGAAGCCCUAAGGUUUAAUUUUACAUUCA
Molecule: long non-coding RNA, 269 nt
Filed under: Olea europaea (common olive)
Lineage: Eukaryota; Viridiplantae; Streptophyta; Magnoliopsida; Lamiales; Oleaceae
Description: long non-coding RNA (OEUR_LNC015060)
Source: RNAcentral